GACGAACGCUGGCGGCGUGCUUAACACAUGCAAGUCGAACGGAAAGGCCCUGCUUUUGUGGGGUGCUCGAGUGGCGAACGGGUGAGUAACACGUGAGUAACCUGCCCUUGACUUUGGGAUAACUUCAGGAAACUGGGGCUAAUACCGGAUAGGAGCUCCUGCUGCAUGGUGGGGGUUGGAAAGUUUCGGCGGUUGGGGAUGGACUCGCGGCUUAUCAGCUUGUUGGUGGGGUAGUGGCUUACCAAGGCUUUGACGGGUAGCCGGCCUGGGAGGGUGACCGGCCACAUUGGGACUGAGAUACGGCCCAGACUCCUACGGGAGGCAGCAGUGGGGAAUAUUGCACAAUGGGCGGAAGCCUGAUACAGCAACGCCGCGUGCGGGAUGACGGCUUUCGGGUUGUAAACCGCUUUCGCCUGAGACGAAGCGUGAGUGACGGUAAUGAGUAAAGAAGCACCGGCUAACUACGUG
RNAcentral lists this ribosomal RNA (468 nucleotides) under uncultured bacterium. RNAcentral's name for it is "partial 16S ribosomal RNA". It matches the Rfam family "Bacterial small subunit ribosomal RNA", at positions 28 to 507 of the family's 1533-position model. The record is from RNAcentral.